GAAGUCGAAACGGCUACUGCUAUUUAACAAUAGUAGAGGAAAGUCCGGGCACCAUAGAGACGCGCUCCAGUUAACUGCUGGCGUUCGCAAGGGCAGGGAGAGUAGCACAGAAACAAAACCGCCUAAUCAGUGCUCCGCACUGAGAAUUCUCAAUUUUCAAGUCUAAAUUUUCAAAUAAUUUUCAAUUAAUCAUUGGGAAUUAAAUGAAAAUUGAAAACUGCUAAUUGGAAAUUUCAGUGCGGAGUACUGAAGGCAAGGGUGAAAAGAGGUGGGGUAAGAGCCCACAAUCGCGGCAGUAAUGUUCGCGAGCGGCAAAACCCAGCGUGGUGCAAGACGGGUGGGUCAGUAUCUAAUUAAGUUCAAUGUUCUAGUAACUAGAGCUCCGCGGUGGUCUCGCCGAUGGAUACUGAUCCCGUCGCUUAGAUGGAUGGCCGUUAUCCACAGUAAAGUGUGGAGAAACAGAACCCGGCUUAAUGACUUCCGAA
This 485-nucleotide RNase P RNA is filed under the name Candidatus Berkelbacteria bacterium. RNAcentral describes it as "RNase P RNA component class A". It matches the Rfam family "Bacterial RNase P class A". Rfam says of the family: Ribonuclease P (RNase P) is a ubiquitous endoribonuclease, found in archaea, bacteria and eukarya as well as chloroplasts and mitochondria. Its best characterised activity is the generation of mature 5'-ends of tRNAs by cleaving the 5'-leader elements of precursor-tRNAs. The record is from RNAcentral. Lineage: Bacteria; Candidatus Berkelbacteria.